CAUUAUUUUGUUUUCUAACAUUAAAAUGAGGGAUACACACUCAUGAACAACACUUCAACAAAAUUACCCACACACCAAAAGACAAAUUUAACCCAACAAGAGCAGAAAGAAAAGCAAAGCUAGAUAAUACAAAAUGGGAAACAACAUGAAAUGAAGAAAAGAUGAAAACUUUAACUUUUGAGGACGGGAAUCGGAAAUGGGGUUUGGUGGGAAGGGUUGGGAAUGGUUGGACGGCGAGGGGGGAGGGGUCGCGGCCGUAGAGGAGCUAGAGGUGGUGGUGAGGUAGAGGCCGACGUGGAGGCAGAGGCGGAGAGGAUGAGGGUAGCGGUGAGGACGAAGGUGGUGAUGACGGAGACGAUGGAGGUGACGACGGGGUCAGGGAAGUGGUGGUGGUGGAGGAGGGUACAACGGUGGUGACGGGAGGUCAGGGAGGUGGUGGAGGUGGUUACGAGGGCCACUAAGGUAGAGGUGAUGGUGGUCAGGGUGGGAGUACCGGAGGUGGUGAUCGUGGUCAUCCUGGAGGAGGAUAGAGGUGAGGCAGGUGGCCAGAGCCAUGUAUAUGGUUGCGGUGGUGUGUGUGGAGGAGCUGAGGCAGGCGGGAAUGUGCCCGAGGAUUUGGUGACUAUUUCAUCCGUUUCUAAGAAUGACGAGGCAAUGCACGAGAGUCAGAUGUAUAUCAGCCCAAGUCAGAUACGGUCGAACUUACUUGGUAAUGAGAGCCUUAGCGCGGAGUUUGUGGGUCUCAUUUUUUUUACGAGAUCAGUAUCAUCAUGCAGGAAGAUGAGUUGGCCAAAUGCAUAUUUUCUGUAGCUGGAUUACAAGCACACUUUGAUGUGGAUCUAAACGAGCCCUGUGGACAAUAUAUUUGUGUUGGGUGGGACACCCCUCAGCAUUCGCGUAUCUACUACAUCACACCCGGUCCAUCCACAUCACUGAAACACAUACCGGAGGAAGUGGAGUAGGCCGGAGACAGAGAAGGUGACGAAAACGUAGUCCCUCCGACUUAGAGAGUACGACAAAUCAGGCGUCGUCGACGCUGCUUCACCGGAUCGUAUUUCUUCUGAAUUUUGAGAAAUGCAUAUUUCAUUUUAUGUUAUGUACGUCAGUUUUAGUUAUGUAAUCCUUGUUGUUAUGUAUUCCAUAUAGUUAUGUAUUUUUUUUUGUUAUGUAUUUCAUGUAGUGAUGUUAUGUUUGUCAUAUUGUGCUAUGUGACUGUUUUUGUUAUGUUUUGUAUUUAGACUGUUUUUAUUGAUAUUCUGUAUUCUACAAUAUACGAUGAAUCUAUCUUAUAACACGAGUCCAUAAGUCGUGAAUAAAAACAUCAAAAUAAACCACACAAGUGACACUAAUAUUAAAAUAAAUCAUCACUGUUACACUAACAUCAACAUAAAAAAAUACAAGGCACACUAACUUUAAAUUAAACCACACAAAGGACACUAAUGGAGGAGGAUAGAGGUGAGGCAGGUGGCCAGAGCCAUGUAUAUGGUUGCGGUGGUGUGUGUGGAAGAGCCAUCUGUACAUGUAUAUCCUUACGGUAGAAUUCACCAACUUUUAAUUAGUACUAGCCUAAUUGCCCGUGCCAAGCACGAAAAUGUUGAAUCAUAAUAAUUAUUAUAUAACAUUAUUUAUUAAGGGUAUUAUAUACAAUACAAAAAUAUUGUUUUACAUAUUAAGGGUAUUACAGAUUUCAUGAUUUUUUAAGCAAAUAUGACGAAAUUUUAAUCAAAUUUAUAAGAGAUAAUAUUCAAUUUGGUCCCUGAACUUAUAUGUAAGUCUCAAUUUAGUUCUUGAAGUUUCAAUUGUCUCUAUUUAGUCCCCAAACUUUGCGAACAUAACUCAUAUUAGUUUCUGAAACAAUUUUCAACGUACAAAUGUUAACGGAACACUGUCGUGACAGCCGAAUGCCACAGUAAACUUUGUAAAAUGAUGUCGUUUUGGUUUUGGCACUCAAAUAACCCAAAAACAACAUCCUAAAUGGUGUUUAUUAAAAUUUUACCUAACAAAAUAAGUAAUAGGAUGCUGUUUUUGAGCUAUUUAAAUAUCAAAACCAAAACUGCAUUAUUUUACAAGUUUUAACGUGACAUGUGAUAGUCUACAACAGCGCUCUAUUAACGUUUUUAUGCUAAAAGUGGUCUCAGGGACUAAUAUGAGGCACGUUUAUAAACUUCGGGGAUUAAAUAGAGACAAUUGAAACCUCAGGGACUAAAUUGAGACUCACGUGUAAGUUCAGGGACCAAAUUGGAUAUUAUCUCUGUUACGGCCCGGCUCAAACCUUCUGCUGGCUUGGGCCGACCCGGGCGGUCAGGGAUAGAGCGCCCCGUCGCCGACCCGGACACGCGUCCGUAACAGCUCUCCCACAGUUGUGAAGGGAGUGCCUCGAGAGUAGUGGGCCUGCCCUUACAGGGCCCACCUCUGACAAUAUAUAAGGAGAAGAUUGGCUCUUCCCCCAAGGUACGUUAUAUAUCACAUUACCCUUUCUGCCUGCACAUUUACUGACAAGAGCGUUGGAGUGUCUUUGCAGGUGGCACCCCAGGAUCUUCACCCGAAUCGACCGGUAACCGAUUUACCGAACAUUGGCGCCAUCUGUGGGGACUCAUCCAUGGACUUCGUGCUAGUCGAAACGGAGGCAGGCCGCGAGGCCGUACCCGGAGGCGACGCCGCCGGGACGAAAACCCGACAACAUCCAAGAUCACCCCCGAGGGACGCAGCCCAAUCACAUGAGAGACGCCCCUUUGGGGGGACCGGAGACAACCACGCCAGAAUAAUGCAAGAGCUACGCCAUAGAAUGCAAGACUUAGAGCGCCGGUUAGCGGACAGAGAACGCAACCAGCGCACCCCAGAACAGAGUCACUCCCGAUCUCGCUCCAGGAGCCGUUCCCGGCGCACGCCUAGCCCCCAGGUCGAGUCAGAAAGCACCGGAAAGAGAGGGCGCGCGAGAAGACAUCACAACCCUGUCAUUUAUGCCAGACGUGAAAGGCGGCGUACGACGAACCAGGGGGACGAAGACGCCCGUCGGGAGAACGACGAUGGGAGAACGAAUACCCGGGGACCCGUGAUAAUAGGGGCCACCCCAUUCCACCGCUCCAUACUCGAGGUCCGGCUGCCAAAACAUUUUGACAAGCCAACGGACAUGAGGUAUAAUGGAACGCAGGACCCCCUGGAGCAUCUAACGGCCUUCGAGGCCAGGAUGAACCUAGAAGGAGUAGGAGAUGAGGUAAGGUGUCGCGCCUUCCCGGUCACCCUGGCGGGACCUGCAAUACGGUGGUUCAAUAACCUCCCGCAGGGCUCGGUGACCCAAUUCUCCGACAUCAGCCAUGCUUUCCUGGCUCAGUUCACAACCAGGAUCGCGAAAGCCAAGCACCCGAUCAAUUUGCUAGGGGUGACCCAAAGAGCCGGGGAGCCGACCAGGAAAUACUUGGAUCGUUUCAACGACGAGUGCCUAGAAAUUGACGGUUUGACAGACUCGGUGGCGAGUUUAUGUUUGACGAAUGGGCUCCUGAAUGAGGACUUCAGGAAGCACCUUACCACAAAGCCAGUCUGGACAAUGCAGGAGAUCCAGUGCGUGGCUAGGGAGUAUAUCAACGACGAGAAGGUCAGCCAGGUCGUGGCUGCCAAUAAACGGCAACCCCUCUACAACCAAACCAAGCACCACGAUGGUGGAGAACGACAAAAGGAACACACUAGGAACGGCGGCUCGAGCAAGACGACAAAACCGUUUUCCCGAGUCGGGAAAUUCACCAACUACACCCCCUCGCGGCACCAAUCACGGAGGUCUAUCAAUAGAUAGCCGAGAAAGGGAUACUAUCGAGGCCCCGUCCUCUGAAGGACAGGACAGGGGGAAACAAAAGCCUCUACUGCGAAUAUCACAAGGGGUACGGGCACAAGACCCAAGACUGCUUCGACCUAAAGGAUGCCCUGGAACAGGCAAUCAGGGACGGGAAGCUUGCCGACUUCUCCCACCACAUAAGGGAACCGAAGAGACGGAACCGGGAUCGCGAGGGUGAGAACAGGUCCAGGUCGACAAGACGACGUCAAGAACCAGAGGAAGACGACCACGGUCUCACGGUAGUAAAUGUAGUAACUGCAAGGAAUUCUGCCCCGAGGUCGAAAUCGGCGCAGAAGAAAGACGCCAAGGUCCUGGCGGUCUCCUCCUCAUCUGCUAGGAGCUCUCGGGGACACCCAUCCAUCUCUUUUGGCCCCGAGGAUCAAUGGUUCGAUGAGGUACCGGAAAGUCCACCCAUGGUUAUCACGGCCAGAGUCGGAACCGAAGUGGUCAAACGAAUCCUAGUGGACACGGGGGCGGACUCGAACAUCAUGUUUCGCAACGUCUUCGACGCCUUGGGACUAUGUGAUGCCGACCUGGCGGCCCACCAGCACGGUGUGGUAGGGUUGGGUGAUCACUUCAUCAAACCAGAUGGGAUCAUCUCACUACCGACCUCCCUUGGACAAGGACAGAGGCGAAGAACGGUAAUGGCCGAUUUUGUUGUCUUACGAGAUUCCACUGCUUAUAAUAUCAUCCUGGGGAGAAAAACCAUCAAUGACCUCGGAGUAGCAAUUAGCACGAAACUGCUCAUAAUGAAGUUUGUUACCGAUGACGGAUCCGUAGGGUCCAUCAGAGGAGACUUGGAAACGGCAGUCCCUUGCGACCACGCCAGUCUCUCUCUUAGGAAAAAAUCCAAAGAAGCAUCUGGGGUUUUCCUUGCCGACCUGGAUGCCAGGAUAGACGACAAGCCCAGACCUGAGCCAGAAGGGGACUUGGAAAAAUUUAGGGUUGGUGACGAGGACGAGAAGUUCACGUUCAUAAACAGAAACCUCCCCAAUGAAUUAAAAGAACUUUUGAUGAAGAUGAUCAGAGCUAACGCCGACCUCUUCGCCUGGACACCAGCCGAUAUGCCAGGGAUAGACCCCCAGCUUAUGUCACACCAUCUGGCCGUCAAGCCAGAGGCCAAGCCAGUAGCUCAGAGGAGGAGGAAGAUGUCACAAGAAAGGGCAGAAGAGGUGGCCAGGCAGACGGCCAGCCUCCUUGAAGCAGGGUUCAUCCGAGAGCUGGACUACUCGACUUAGCUGUCUAACGUGGUGUUGGUGAAAAAACACAGGGGGAGGUGGAGAAUGUGCGUGGACUACUCCGACUUCAACAAGGCAUGCCCUAAGGAUUGCUACCCCCUGCCCAACAUUGACGCACUCGUCGACGCAGCAGCAGGAUACCAAUACCUGAGCUUCAUGGACGCCUACUCUGGGUACAAUUAGAUACCGAUGCACCGACCCGACGAGGACAAAACGGCGUUCAUAACGCCAGGAGGGAUCUAUUGUUACAAGGUGAUGCCGUUCGGUCUAAAAAACGCUGGCGCCACGUAUCAAAGACUGAUGAACAAGAUAUUCAAUGAGCUCAUAGGCAAAAACUGCACGACCCGACGACCUCUUAAGAGACCUAGGGGAUGUGUUUGCCUCCCUCCGACAGCACGGCAUGAGGCUCAACCCGCUCAAGUCGCCUUUGCCAUGGAGGCCGGAAAGUUCUUGGGGUUCAUGAUCACCCAAAGAGGGGUAGAGGCCAACCCUGAGAAGUGCCAAGCGAUUCUCCAGAUGAAGAGUCCGGGUUGCAUCAAAGACGUCCAGCGGCUGGCGGGAAGGCUGACGGCGUUAUCCCGUUUCCUCGGCGCAUUGGCAGCGAAAGCCCUGCCCUUCUUCAAUUUAAUGAAAAAGGGAAUAGCAUUUGAAUGGACCCCAGCCUGCGAGGAAGCAUUCAACCACUUCAAGGAAAUCCUAGCAACACCUCCGGUGCUCGGGAAGCCCAAAGCCGGAGAGCCACUCUACCUCUACCUAGCGGUAACAGAGGAAGCACUUGCAGCAGUGCUCGUAAAAGAAGAAGGGAAAGCCCAGCAACCGAUUUACUUCGUAAGCAGGGCCCUACAAGGAGUAGAGCUGAGGUACAGCAAAUUGGAAAAACUGGCGCUCACACUCCUAACCUCCUCUCGAAGGUUUAGGCAAUACUUCCAGGGUCACCGCGUGGUCGUCAAAACGGAUCAAGUGAUCCGUCAAGUACUCUAAAAACCCGAUUUGGCUGGAAGGAUGAUGACCUGGGCCAUUGAGCUGUCCUAAUACGACUUGCACUAUGAGCCCCGUCACGCAAUCAAGGCACAGGCAAUGGCAGAUUUCUUAGUAGAGGUAACGGGCGAUCCUCCCGAAGAAACGGGCACACGGUGGAGGCUCCACGUAGACGGGGCCUCCAACCAAACGUCUGGGGGAGCCGGGGUCAUCUUAGAAAGCCCGGCAGGAGUCAUCUAUGAACAAUCGACCAAGUUCGAGUUCCCUGUAUCGAACAAUCAAGCGGAAUAUGAAGCCCUCUUAAGCGGGCUAAUACUAGCUCGGGAAGUCGGGGCGACGAAGGUCGAAGUAUGCAGCGACUCACAGGUCGUCACCUCGCAGGUAAGCAGAAGCUACCAAGCCCGGGACCCCCUCCUGCAAAAAUACUUGGAAAAAGUUAAAGAAAUGACAAGUCAGUUCCAAGAGGUCACGAUCCAACACGUCCCAAGAGAAAGGAACACACGGGAGGACCUCCUAUCCAAACUAGCGAGCACGAAGCCAGGAGCGGGCAACCGGUCUCUCAUCCAAGGCAUGAUGAAGGAGCCAACGGUCGCCCUCCAUUUGACGAAGUCAAGCCCCUCAUGGUUGGACCCCAUCACAAACUUCCUGGAACUCGGCAAGCUGCCUGACGAUGAGAAAGCGGCCAAAAUAUUGAGAAGGGAGGCGGCCAGAUAUGCGAUCAUACAAGGGCAACUGUUCAGGAAGGGGCUCAGCCAGCCCCUAUUGAAGUGCUUUCACCCCGACCAGACGGACUAUGUACUUAGAGAAGUCCACGAGGGUUGUUGCGGCCACCACAUCGGGGGAAAAGCCCUAGCAAGGAAGCUCAUCCGAGCUGGAUACUACUGGCCAUCAAUGAUGAAAGACUCGAGGGAAUUUUUCAGAAAGUGCGUAAAGUGUCAACAAAACGCCAACUUCCACAAGGCGCCGGCUUCCGAGCUGAGCCUGCUGACGACCACACGACCUUUCGCCCAAUGGGGAGUUGACCUUCUGGGACCUUUCCCGGUUGGCCCAGGGCAAGUCAAAUACCUCAUAGUCGCCAUCGACUACUACACCAAAUGGAUAGAGGCUGAGCCACUGGCCAGCAUAUCUUCCUCCAACUGCCGGAAGUUCAUGUGGAGGCAGGUGAUAACCCGUUUCGGUAUCCCGGAGGUCGUCAUUUCGGAUAAUGGGACGCAAUUCACUGACAAGAAGUUCACGGAGUUCCUCACCGGCCUAGGAGUGAAACAGAAGUUUUCCUCAGUGGAACACCCCCAGACAAAUGGACAAGUGGAGUCCGCAAACAAAGUCAUCUUACUUGGCCUCAAGAAACGCCUAGACAACAAGAAAGGCGCAUGGGCCGACGAGCUCGCUUCGGUCCUGUGGUCCUACCGAACAACCGAGCAAAGCGCUACGGGGAAAACCCCUUUUCGCCUAACGUACGGGGCCGACGCGGUCAUACCCGUUGAAAUCGGCGAACCGAGCCCGCGGCUACUACUCGCAGGUGUGGACGAAGCGGUGGAAAAGGACCUGGUGGAGGAGACAAGGGAGAUGGCCCACUUGUUAGAAACGGCGUUGAAACAAAGAAUAGCCCUGCGCUACAACGCUAAAGUCCUCAGGAGGGAUUUUGAGGAAAGAGACCUCGUCCUGCAACGCAACGAUGUCGGUCUACCGAUCCCUGGAGAAGGGAAGCUGGCGGCAAAUUGGGAAGGUCCCUACAGAAUUAAAGAAGUGCUUGGCAAGGGUGCCUACAAGCUCGAGAGACUUGACGGCAAAGAAAUCCCUAGAACAUGGAAUGCAGGUAAUUUGAGGAGGUUCUACUCCUAACUCGGGCACACCGACCGGGAGGCCUAACGGGCUCAUAUGUGCUUGUUUUGUUCACAUGUUAAUUUUCAGCCCUUGUUACCUUUUAGCUAUUUACUCCUAUCGAAUACUUGCCAUGUUAACAAACUCGCCUAGCUGACGAUUAAUUCUCACUUGUCAAAAUAUUUUCUUACUUAUCUGUUGCUUCCCAAUACGUGUCUCACACGAUUGCGUUCUAAAACGGCAGCCCGGGACUGAUCACCCCGGGAACCAUUUGGACCACAGCCAUAACUAACGGCGGCGACAACACGACCAAAGCGGUCCAAAACCAUUACCAACGUAAAACGGCAAAACGGGCACAAGCAAUAAGCCCGCCCCAAAAAGGCGGUAAUGGAAACAGUACAACAAGCAAAGACAAAAGAUAAUAAUGACGAACUGGCCAAACGACUAAGAUAAGCACAAGUUAUAAAGUUUCAAAUUACAAAACGUUCAGCAAAACGAUCAGCAAAUCCACACUAAAAUAUCCAAGUUACAACAGAUCACUUCCUAGGCAUGUCAACAACCUUGCCAUCUUGAAUCAUCUUGAAGACCCCAAUGGCCGACGUGUCAAAGUCGGGAGCCACGAUCUUCACCUGAGCCUUCAGGGCGUCCUCAGUCAUAGAGAUCGCGUUCUUCCCUUGCUCUUUGGUCGCUUUCAGCUUCUUCCGGAGCUCCUCGACCUCGACUUUAGCAGCUUUAGCCGACCACACGGCUUGGUCACGCUCUUUCUCCAAGACCGCCACCCGACCCUGAGCGGCGUUCAGCUGGCUCUCCAAGGUCAUCUCCCGCUCAACUAAACGGGCCACCGUCUCGUCGAAAGCCUUCAAUUUCUCAUCGGCAGAUGUCGUCCUUUCCUCGGAUGCCUUGAGCUUCUCCCCCAUCUCGGACAACUGGCUCUGGAGCAGCUCAACCUGCACCUUGAAGUCAUUGUUUGCCUUGGCAGAGGACUCGAGCUUCCUCCGGAGGGCCUGCAUUUCCGACAACUCGAACUCAGCCUUUCGAGCUAUCACGGCCCCCCGGAGCAAAGUCCAGUACAUCCAUCUCGCCUGUCCAGCCAGGUCGGUCCCAUGAAAAUGCUCCUCCAUCCCAGGGAUCAGCUGCGAGUCGAUAAAGGUUGUAGCAUCGAAAUUUCUCUCCAUGAUGGUGAGAGUCCCCUCCGAACUCGCAGACGCCCUCCGCCUCUUAGGGGUGUGGAUGAGUUCCACAUCAUCAUCUUCCUGAUGGGCAGAGGGCGAGUGCCCGCCAACGACGACCUCGGGAAGGGGAGAAGCCUGCGCCCCUUCUGGGUUCUUGCCCGACAUGCCGGUAUCCUGGGGAGAGGGCACAGACUGACCCUCCUUCUCCCCGGAAGGCCCCUCCGACUUCCCGGCGUCUUUCUCUUCGGCCUUCUCCUCGUCACUUUCCUCGAAGAAGGUCUUCAUCAAAUUUUCAAGCCCUGUCACUGAGGCAGACAUCUCCACUGCAGCAAACAGAUAAACGCGUCAGUCGUCAGAUCAAGAAAAACAAGCAAUAAUAAACAAUACGAACACGAAACAAAACGACUCACGAAUAUAGCUCCUGGCGGCCUCCCGUUCACCCAUGAGAAGAUGGGGGUUCACGGGAUUCUUCCCAAAGAGGGCAAACAACACAUCAGCUAUUUUCUUAUCUACAGGGGACAUCCUUUUGUACGUCACCUUAAUAAACGGAUUAGACCCCGCCCCAAAACUCCAAUAUGUUGGGAUGAGGCGCUCCCCCUCUAACGAUAACCAAAAGGGAUGGCGACCUUUAGCAGGGCGAACUUUGAAGAAUUUGUCCUUGAACCUAUGGUAAGAGUCCUCGAAUAGACCAAAUAUCCUCCGACCUUGGGCAGACCGGAAAGAAAGGAACCCUUUUCUCGCCUUCCCUUGUUUGGAGGGGUUGGUGAGGUUGAAGAAAAAGAGGAAGACAUCCACUGACGCCGGCAGCUCGAGAUAUUCAUAGAACCAAAUCGAAACAGCGGAUAGAAGCCCAACUGUUCGGAUGGAGCUGCGACGGCGACACGGAUAUCCGGCCAAGGAGAGACAUCUGAAAAUCGGAAAAAAGUAGGCGAACGUCGACCUGGGUAAACAUGGCCUUGUAAAACCAGACCCAGUCGGCAACCCGGGGAGAACGGAGGUUGAUCUCGUACAACCGCUCGUCGGGGGCUGGAACGAAGGUCUCGUAGUUGAUCUCCUCGUCCGUCCCCCCACAUAAGUACCCGGCUUGCCGAAAUUCCGUCAGCUCUCCUAGAUCCAUCUGGUUAGGCGAGUCCUUUAUGUCCGAGGUCACCCAUGCGUAAGGGUCGUAAUUUGCGGUGGAAGUAGAAGUCCGAGCGACAACACGAGGCAUACCUACAGCGGGGUACCACUCCGUUAGACUAUGAGAUCGGGAGCCCGGAAAACACCCAGAAACUAUGCUUAUCCUACUGAACAGUUAAAAUUAAACAUGGAAAAGGCUACACUCGUCAAGCAAGCUACCUAAAAACCUACCCCCGGAAUGGUACCCCUCCCUUAACCCAUUUACCCAAGCACUGGAGAGUCAUCUAGUAACAAAAACCAAACGAGACGACAGGAAACACAAAAGCAAACGCAAGUAAUAGACAUUCAACAACAAGGCAAAAAGAGAGAAGCCCAAGGAUUACCUGAAUUUGUUUCGAGGAUCUAAAAAAGACGAAGGGAAGAUGCGUGAGGAUAUCACACCAGUGCUCUGAGAUCUUCGAAAGAGGGAGGAAGAGUUGGCAAGAAGAUAGAAGAAGCAGGAGUGUAAAAAAGAGGAAUAAAGCGAAAACGAACCAUUUAAAACUAUCCCCAGGGAGCGCGAAAGACUGGGGACAAAAUAGUCUUUGCAUACGGGGAUUCCCAACCCAUUAUGAGCAUUUAAUGCUCAGCACGGAGAACGAAGCACUGAACGUUUACCUCAGUAACCAAAGGACAUGCGCGCAGGGGACACGUCCCCCUACGAGCGGCCGAUCUGGCGACGACCUAUGAAGAAAGAAAGAACGCGCCACAAAUAGUCCACACGGCUACCAUUGGCGCGUGGGGGCACUGUUACGGCCCGGCCCAAACCUUCUGCUGGCUUGGGCAGACCCGAGCUCUACCCGACCCGGGCGGUCAGGGAUAGAGCGCCCUGUUGUCGACCCGGACACGCGUCCGUAACAGCUCUCCCACAGUUGUGAAGGGAGCGCCUCGAGAGUAGUGGGCCUUUCUUUACAGGCCCACCUCUGACAAUAUAUAAAGGGAAGAUUGGCUCUUCCCCCAAGGUACGUCAUAUAUCACAUUACCCUUUCCGCCUACACAUUUACUGACAAAAGCGUCGGAGUGUCUUUGCAGGUGGCACCCCCCUUUCUUACACGAAGUACUCGGGACCUCGCCCCUCUCUGUCCGGCAGUCCACGACCCGACGAGCCCUUACCAUCUCCCAGGAUCUUCACCCGAAUCGACCGGUAACCGAUUUACCGAACAAUCUCAAUUUAUAAUAACACAUAUUAAGUAUAGAGGAGUGCUACGGGGCCAGCACUUUUGUUAAAUUCUGGCCAGCACUUAACCAUCAAAGGGAAAUUGAAUGAUCCUACACCAUUAGAUGUAAUCUCACACCAUUAAAAAUAUCAUUGAUGGCUAAUUGAUGGCUAAAAAUCACAAAAUCUGCUGGCCCUCUAAACUUUCUCUUAAGUAUAUACUUAGUCAAAUCAUGAUAACAGGAAGAUAAUAGAUCAACCAACCAAAGAUAAAGAACAAGCACAAAAAAACAUAAUUGAGCCCAAAAAAUUAUAAAGCUAAUACCAUUUCUUGUCCUGCCAGACAUAUGCAUAUAACUGGUAAGCUUUAAAAAUUUUGAGACAUGGAAAUAUGGAAUUCAGAAUUCUAAAAUACGAUAGAUGAUGACUACAAAUUAAUUUAAUAUAAAAGAUGGAUGCUUAUAUCCUAUAAAUCUUCCUAAACAAGUGUAAUUAUCCGUGUCAUACACGUGAUAAGAUUAAAAUUAUAAUUUUAAAUUAUUUUUUAAAAUUAAUUUAAAUGAUAAUAAUUUGAUUAAUAAAAAAUUAAUAUGUUAUGCAUUGUUUGUUUUUUUUUUAAAUUUAGUAUUAAUUGAAUUAACUCUAAAAUAGUUAUUAAUCAAUUUUAAUAAUCUACUUUCUUCAAUAAAUUAGACAUAUAUACUGAAUGUGAUCAUAAAUAAUAUAGUAAUAGUUAAAUCUACCCACAAACAUAUUGGCUAUUAUCACACUCUAAAACAAAUUAAAUAUAAAGGCUAUUAGCACACACUUAUAAAUCUAUAAAAUCGUACUAUCUUUAAUUCGUGCAAGGGUUUAUUUAUCAAAUAAACUUAAAAUAUAAACAAAAAAUAUUUAUAAAAUGGACCUAGCAUCACUUGAAAGAAUCAUGGAAAAUAAUCAACUUACCUUAUCAUCCAUAAGAACCAUUUCUAUGUAAGUCGUGUUGUUCUUGUCAAAUUUGGAUGAGACUUUUCAUAACCUUAUAAUUCUUACCUUUAUUUUUCAAACUUUUUCAUUACAUAAUCUAUCAUAGGUAAUAUUGUUGAUAGAAUUGUAGUUAGUAUCCUUUAGGUAUGAAAAAUAAUAAACAGAAGAAGUUCUAUGUCUGAGGUACGAAUUUUCUAGAUGAUAAAUAAUUGUAAUAAUUCACUAUUAAUCCUUAUAUAUAUAUAAACACACACACUAAUUAUACACGGUAAUAGUUAACAAAUAUUUUCAAUGGAGAUACUUACUCAAUAUAUAUGUUAUCGACAUUAAUUAUAUGCCAAUAUUUUUAGAAAAGAGAUAAAAGAGGAGAUAUAUAAAUAUAUAAUAUUAUUGCUAUAUAGGAAGUAUACAUAAAUUGCUAAAUUUUUUAUUAUAUUAUACAACUUAAAAUUAUAGUAUCAUGUUAUUAUUAAUUCUAGAUACUUGCUAUAAUUAUAUCAAAUUUAAUUAUAACUCUAAAUAAAUAAAAUAGAUAACAUUCAAUAUUAUUUUUUUUCUUUUUUACAUUCAAUAUUUACUGUAAAUAUAAGAAGUAAAAUAACUAAUGAAAAAAUAUGAGCAGAAAAUAAAAUGUAUUAAUUAAAAUUCAAUUUGUUAUCUAAUUAAUCUUGUGUCCAUACGAUAUAACUUUACAAAAAUGUUAUGAAUUACCUUUUUUAUUCUACAAAAAAAAAACACUAUAUGUAGCUUUUAGUAGUACAAAAAUAAUUAUAAGAAUUAAUUAUUGAUAUUGAUAUUAAUCACAAUUGAUUAUUGAUAUUCUAAUUUUCUUAAAAUAUAUUUUACCUUUUUAAAAUAUAAUAUAUGUGAUUAAAAUGUGAAUACAUACUAAUAAAAUUAUUACAUACGAAUGAGAAUUAGAACUAUAUCAAUUAUAUCAAUUAUAUAAAUUCAAAAUUAUUAUUAUUAUUAUUAUUAUUAUUAUUAUUGAGUAAUAAUGAUAAUUCAUGUGAUAAUGAAUAUUACCUAUAAAACAUCUAAAAUUAAAUAAUAUUCAAGUAUAAUUAUGUGACAAUUAUAAUUCAAAAAUUACUGUAUAUGAAGUCACGUGAAUUAUUAUUAUAAUUGAUAUAAUAAUUGCUAUAAUUGCUACAUAUUCUCAAUCUUAUCGGUUGUAUCAAUUUAACUAUAUCAAUUAUAUUUAAAUUAGUAGUCAAUUGUUUUUAUGAAAAUUCUUGCUAUAAUUAGGUUAUACUUAUGAGAUUAUCUUGUAUUAAUCGUUAUAAUUAAUUUAAUAAAAAUAUUUAUUAAGUAUAUAUGUUAUCUAUAUUAAUUAUAUGCCAAUAUUUAUAAAAAUUUUCUAAUUAUAAUUUAAUCAAAUACUAAUAUUAAAACCAAAUUACUUAAACAAUAUUGAAUCUAUUCAAGUUCUUAGUUACAUAUAAUAUAGAGUCAUUCUCGUAACGAUAACCAACUGAAAUAACAUCGUAAAUAUCAACAUUUAGAAUUCGUGCGAAUUCAAAUCAUCCUCUUGUUAAAUAAGUUUCAUCAUCCGCUAUCUAUGCAAUGCGGCAAGGUAUAGAAUUGCCACACCGAGAAACCAAACUAACCCUUAUUCCUCUCAAUGGCGUUGCAUGCAUGCAAAAGAAAGCCGGUAAUUUCUGAAAAAAAUCACAAUAUGUUAUAAAAUUAUUCUAAUAAUGAACAACUUAAAAUAAAAAAAUUUAAAUAUAUUACCAAUCGUUGAAAUUGCAUAUCCGAGUUUGUCACGAAUUUAGCAAAACUGAACUUAAACUGAGAGAAUUCAAUCUCAUUAUGUGCUCCACUUUGAAGAUUUUCGGGCAGACGUAAAAAGCACGGAGAGGAUGGAACUUGAACUUGCCCUAUAAAAUUCCGUGGAUGCAAUUCCUCAAUAAAAAAUCAAGCUCCUCCCAAGAAAGUUAACUUUAACCACAUUCCAUUAGGUUGGUCAUAAUAGGUGAGUAGAUCCAACCAUCAUUCGGUAAAGUAGAGAUUAUUGCCCCUUCUUUGAACGCUUACAUCCAUGUAGUUGGAACCUGUCAGUGAAGACAACUCGAUGAGGUAUUUCAUGGAUAUGAUGCAUUGUAAAUGAUUGUGGUAAAAGACAAUCGAACUGGAACAUUAGACUAUAAGAAUAACUUAGAGUAACAACAAUUAAUAAAUUAUUAAAAGAAUAAUAUAAUAGAAUGAGUAUAUAAAAAAUAUUAUAAAAAAUUAUAAAUUGUACCUUAAAAGGAUCAACUUCAAUAAAAAACGAAGAAUACAUUCUUAUUCUAUGAAGUAGUAAAAAAAAUACUAAAUAUAAAAUUAUGAGCUGACUCUCAAAUUUAGAUUCAUGUACCACAGAAAAACACUAUUUAUAAACCUUGAUAAUAAGUAAUUUACAUAUUUAUUUUUGUACAGAAAAACAAUUUUUUAUUAUGUACAAUAAUUACGCAUUAUAAUUGAUAAGUAGUUUAAUUGAUCCGUAACUCCAAUAAAAAAUCUAAUCCAGUAAAAGUGUUUCUAUCUUCCUCCUCUACACGUUGGCAUCACUUUUGUUCGAUGGAGGCUGAUGGUGACGUAGCUCCUCUUCCCCUUGAGUUCGGACAACUGGAUUUCUAGGAGGCACAGAUGAUUUCUGACGCUUUCCUCUUCAGCAACUCGGUCAGAAAGUUUUUUCAGAAUUUUCGUUGAUUUUAAUUUCAUACGGAGGUAGGGGAUUUGUUUUUAAAGUUAAGUUUUUAAUUUAGAAUGCCUACAAAGUUAAUUGGAUAAUUGUAAAUAUAUAUAUAUAUAAUAGUAAUGAUAUUGAGUAUGGAUUAUUGCUGUGAAUGUGACUGGUUUGGUUGUUAUGAGAGUUUAAUUGGUCGAAUUAAGUUUGGAUUGAGGUUGUGAAAAUGUGAUUGUUGAGGAAUAGGGAACCGUAAGGGUGGUUUAGUCCAAAUUUUAGAGAAAAUGUCGCCGAAAUUUUAUAAAAUCUGAGGUUUUAUUUGAAAAGUUAUUUUAAAAGAUUUGGUUUUGGAAAAUUAAAUUAUUUAAAAUAUAUUUAGUUAAGAAAAGAUUUAUUCUAUUUUAAAGUUUGAUUUAUUAAGAAAAAUAUAAUGUCUUAAACCCAAUCUUUUAAGGAGAGAUUUUGUUUUAAGUAAAGAUUUGAGCUCGGUUUAUUAAGAAAAGAAAUCUCUGCCACAGGAGAGCAGAGAACAAUGAUUUAAAGAAUAUAUUAAUUAAUGAAGUGUCUGCCACAGGAGAGCAGAUGUGACAUUGUUUGGGCCUUAGUGCCAAAUGUAAAGUGGGGACGCCCACACAUUGAGAACUGUUUUCCAGAUGUACGCUUAUUGAUUUGGAAAGUCACACUGAUGCGGCCUAGCCGUACGACUUAAAGUCACACUGAUGCGGCCUGGCCGUACGACUUAUAAGCACACUGAUGCAUCUGAAAAACCAUAUCUGGGACUUGUGCCCGGGUAAUGUCGGGAGCGGGUAGGCAACCGACACAUGAGCUCAUGGCCUGCGUUAGGAUAGACAUGCAUCAUAUUGAUUGCGCAUUUGCAUUUGAUUGCGCUUGCCUGUUUUAUUACUUUGUGAUUGUAUUGUUUGUCUUGUUGUGACUUGCUUGUACAUUGAAUUGAAUCUCUUGCUUGCACUAUUUGUUUGUGAGUGUAUUAAAGUGAUUACGAGUUGACAUUUGACAGAGGAUUAACUAUGUGGCUGAGAGACAGAAAAUGUGACUAGUUUUAUAUUUAAGAUUUGUUUUGAGUUUAGAAAUUUAAAGAAAAGUAAUUAUUUAUCUAAAGUAGAUAUAAAAGUAUUUCCAAAGGGUUAACAAAAUAGUUUUAUUGAGUAAAGUUAAUUAUUUGCAUUAAAUUCAUUACUUUUACGGCAUUUCCAUUCCCCACUGAGAACGUGUGGUUUGUUCUCACCCCAAAAUCUUCCACCCUUUCAGUGACACAAGUUCGAAGAUUCAGUUAGAAGAUGCAGACGACUAGUAGUUUUACUUGUGAUCCCUGUUAUUUUUAUAGAGUUCCCUCGCCCUUGUUGCUUUAAGUUUUAUUUUAUCCAGAGGGAUAGGUAUUAUAUUUGAGUUUUAUAUUAAAUUCAUUUGUAUAGCAUUUAUUAUUAUUAAUAAUUGUGUGAUUUUAAUUACUACAAAUAAUUUUCUGGUAUUUUCUUAUAAACUAAAACGCGAUAUCGACCUAAAGGCUUAAUAUUAAAUAGUAAAUAAGGAGAACAGGUUAGUAACUCCUUACUUUUGGUACGAUUAUGACGUGCUAAAGGUUAGGGUGUUACAAAGAACAUGGUUUACUCCAAUAAUCAAUAUCACCAAGUUGUUUUUCUAUGGCCACAGAGAAAAGCUUUAAAUUAAAACAAAUAAAAGAAUUUAUCCAUCUCAUGACAAAGAUAAUGAGAGGAGCAAAACAGUACAUUUAUUGUUUGUAUCAAAAAAAUAAAAAUAAUCAAAGAGUAAUAUUUUAGCAAUCUUAUUACAAUACCAACAAAAGAAAAAAUAGUCAAUCACUUAUAUAAGAAUCAAGUGAGAGAAUAUACCACACCAACUUAAACUGCUUAACGCACUAAAUAGAUAAAUUUCUCAUCUCAUAAACUCUCGCACAUUAUUUCAUUUAAUAUAAGACUAAGUAUCAUUCACACUUGUUACUUAUCAAUACUUACCCAACAGAAAAGCAACUUAUUUUUAUUGUCUCUUAUCAAAUGAUCAACAAUUCUUUUAACAUGUUAUUACAAACAGAAAACCAAAACUGAUUAUUGAAAUAUAUUUUGAAACAAAAUGGAAGAAUACUACAAACUAAAUCAAGAAAGUUAUAAUUAUUUGUUGAAAAGAUAGUUGAAGAGUACCUUUUUUCGAUAAAGGUUUGAUGCAAAUGUUUCGUGAGUCAAUUUAGAAAACAUAUUGCAAGCAAACAAUUAUUGAAGGAUAUAAUGCAUGACACAGAUAUGUAAAUCUAGCACCUUGUAAGCUCUAAAUAAGAUGACUAUUUCUUGCCAUUGCAACUAUGAAACUCCAGAACAAUAAACAAUGUAAAUAAUAAAUAAUUAACCCAGAAAGAAAGUGAAUGAAGAAACUUCUUCAUAUCAAGCUUCAUCAGUCACCAAACCCAACAGCAGCAUAGGUUACAAUUUAACCAAGCCAGUUAAUACCCCUUUUUUCAAUUUCAAAACAGCGACCUCAUGGUGCAACCUUUGGGACAACACCCUGACCUUCUUGCACGACACAAAGAAAAUCAUUAGACAUCACAUGUAAUCACUGAUAACAACAACAUAAUACUGUGAUAACAACAUAUAAAACUAAAGUAGCAGAAUUUCAAAUAGCAAAAACACCUAAUGAAAACAACCCAAAGCAUAUGAAAGCAAGGCAGCAAAACAAAUCCCCUUGCAUAAUUUAAUGUCAUAAUUCAAUUUGGUUGACUGAAAUAAUAAAGCAAUAUAAGAAAAUUAAAAUGUUAAUCAGUUGAGCAAUAUUUAGAUAUCGAUAGCUAAAAUUGAAGUAUAAGAGAAACUAACAAACGAUUCUACAUUGAUGUAUAAAUUGAGCAAGAUAUUCACCUUUGCCAGUUCAAAAUCAGCAAGGUUGACAAAUCCGUGUGCAUCCACCAAUAUAUUUGAACAUUUACUAUCCCUUUAGAUUAGGAAAAUUCAAAGUAUGAAUGUAAAACUCAAAGUGAGAUCAACCUUGCUUCUAUAUUAAAAGGAAAAAUAGACAAUUUUUAGUGUAACCCCUGCAAUAAUGAAGAAACUUAAAAUAAUAAAAAUAAGUAACUUACUUCUACAUACAAAGAAAAAUGAUGCGGAGAAGAAGUGACCAGCGCCUAAUGAUUAGACAUAUUGACAAUAAAGAAGAUGAGUUUCCUGCUUCUACAUACAAAAAAAAUUAUGGCCAGUUUCUAUUGUAGCCCUGCAAAAUUACCAAGAAGUGACCAGCACCAGUGAUAGAAAAUGUAAAUGAGAAAGUAGUACGAAGCAAAAUUUAUAUAAUAUUUUACUUAAGAAAAAUAUUAUCUACAAAAUUAUAAGAAAAAGUCAAGUUUCUUAUGUAUAUUUGAUAGGGGCUGAGACAUGUCUGUCUAUAUACUUCAAUCACAAUUUCAAAAGGAGAAGGCAUACCUUAAACUUCGCAGCUCUAAAGGAACCUUCACAUGAAUAGAAAAAAAAACCCAAAAAAAUUGGAUCCUUUCUGAAACACAAAAUAGAGAAAACCCAUCAUAGAAAAAAGGAAAAAAUCAGAAUCACUUGUAACAAUCCAGGCGCAAAUGAAGACAUAAAGUUUUCACAUUUCAAUCGAAAAAGAUAAAAAAACAAAACGAUAAACUUUUGGUUUACGAAGAAUCAAAGAGCAAUUAAAGUUACCGUUUUGAACGGAAUGGAGGAAUGAGAAAAGCUGGGAGAAUGCUUGUGUUGUUUUUGUUGUAUCCGAAAAAGAAGGAAUAUUUGAAGAAGGAGGUAUUGUUCUGUGUUACAAAGAAAUCAGAAUAGAUAGAAAGAGACAUGGCAUGGACCUCAGAGAUGGCAGAAGAGAGGGAAAAAUGCAGAAAAGCAGCAAAAAACAAAGAGAUUUAUGUUCGUGGAACAGAGAGAGGUGAAGGCCAAGACAAAGGGGAGCAUGCCAAAGUCAACAAAGAGAGACACCGUGCAAAGGCGGGAGAAGACUUUGAGGAGUAAUGUUUGAAUGGUCAAUAGGAAUUGGAUUGGAUGAAUUAAUGAAAAUUGAGACCGGUAAAACGUGGUCGUUGAAAAGGAAAAUGCAUUUAUUCAGGAUGAGCCGAGGUAAUGACACGUGGGUUGCUGAAACCGAAAUUUAGGAUAUUAACUUAGGAUGUUUUUGUUUGAAAAGCUUAUUAGCGUAAGGUUAAA
Molecule: long non-coding RNA, 19179 nt
Filed under: Arachis ipaensis
Lineage: Eukaryota; Viridiplantae; Streptophyta; Magnoliopsida; Fabales; Fabaceae
Description: long non-coding RNA (AIPA_LNC000228)
Source: RNAcentral